GACGGAGGGUGCAAGCGUUGUCCGGAAUCAUUGGGUGUAAAGGGUGUGUAGGCGGGAGAGCAAGUCAGGGGUGAAAGCCCACGGCUUAACCGUGGAAUUGCCUUUGAUACUGCUUUUCUUGAGUCCCGGAGAGGCCGCUGGAAUUCGUGGUGUAGCGGUGAAAUGCGUAGAUAUCACGAGGAACACCAGUUGCGUAGGCGGGUGGCUGGACGGGAACUGACGCUGAGGCACGAAAGCGUGGGGAGCAAACAGG
RNAcentral lists this unclassified non-coding RNA (253 nucleotides) under uncultured Bacteroidota bacterium. RNAcentral's name for it is "uncultured Bacteroidetes bacterium contains 16S-23S intergenic spacer region". It matches the Rfam family "Bacterial small subunit ribosomal RNA", at positions 524 to 776 of the family's 1533-position model. The record is from RNAcentral. Lineage: Bacteria; Pseudomonadati; Bacteroidota.